RNAcentral lists this ribosomal RNA (494 nucleotides) under uncultured bacterium. Its description in RNAcentral is "partial 16S ribosomal RNA". It matches the Rfam family "Bacterial small subunit ribosomal RNA", at positions 28 to 507 of the family's 1533-position model. The record is from RNAcentral.
GACGAACGCUGGCGGCGUGCUUAACACAUGCAAGUCGAACGGUGAAGCGCCUUCCUUUUUGGUGGGUGUGGAUGAGUGGCGAACGGGUGAGUAACACGUGAGUAACCUGCCCCCUUCUUCUGGAUAACCGCAUGAAAGUGUGGCUAAUACGGGAUAUUCUGGGUCUGUCGCAUGAUGGGUCUGGGAAAGAUAUUGUUUCGGUGGGGGAUGGGCUCGCGGCCUAUCAGCUUGUUGGUGGGGUGAUGGCCUACCAAGGCGGUGACGGGUAGCCGGCCUGAGAGGGUGGACGGUCACACUGGGACUGAGACACGGCCCAGACUCCUACGGGAGGCAGCAGUGGGGAAUAUUGCACAAUGGGCGAAAGCCUGAUGCAGCGGCGCCGCGGGAGGGAUGGAGGCCUUCGGGUUGUGAACCUCUUUCGCCAGUGAAGCAGGCCUGCCUCGUUUGUGGGUGGGUUGACGGUAGCUGGAUAAGAAGCGCCGGCUAACUACGUG